GACGAACGCUGGCGGCGUGCUUAACACAUGCAAGUCGAACGGAAAGGCCCUGCUUUUGUGGGGUGCUCGAGUGGCGAACGGGUGAGUAACCCGUGAGUAACCUGCCCUUUACUCUGGGAUAACUUCAGGAAACUGGGGCUAAUACCGGAUAGGAGAUCCUGCUGCAUGUUGUGGGUUGGAAAGUUUCGGCGGUUGGGGAUGGACUCGCGGCUUAUCAGCUUGUUGGUGGGUUAGUGGCUUACCAAGGCUUUGACGGGUAGCCGGCAUGAGAGGUUGAACGGGCACAUUGGGACUGAGAGACGGCGCAGACUCGUACGGUAGGCAGCAGUGGGGAAUAUGGCACAAUGGGCGGAAGUCUGAUGCAGCAACGCCGCGUGCGUGAUGACGGCCUUCGGGUUGUAAACCGCUUUCGCAUGUGACGAAGCGUGAGUGACGGUAAUGGGUAAAGAAGCACCGGCUAACUACGUG
RNAcentral lists this ribosomal RNA (468 nucleotides) under uncultured bacterium. Its description in RNAcentral is "partial 16S ribosomal RNA". It matches the Rfam family "Bacterial small subunit ribosomal RNA", at positions 28 to 507 of the family's 1533-position model. The record is from RNAcentral.